This 254-nucleotide ribosomal RNA is filed under the name uncultured bacterium. Its description in RNAcentral is "partial 16S ribosomal RNA". It matches the Rfam family "Bacterial small subunit ribosomal RNA", at positions 524 to 777 of the family's 1533-position model. The record is from RNAcentral.
UACGUAGGGUGCGAGCGUUAAUCGGAAUUACUGGGCGUAAAGCGUGCGCAGGCGGUUUUGUAAGCCAGAUGUGAAAUCCCCGGGCUUAACCUGGGAAUGGCAUUUGGGACUGCAAGGCUCGAGUGCGGCAGAGGAGACUGGAAUUCCUGGUGUAGCAGUGAAAUUCGUAGAUAUCGGGAGGAACACCGGUGGCGAAGGCGGCGACCUGGGUAGAUACUGACGCUGAGGCGCGAAAGCUAGGGGAGCGAACGGGG